Molecule: long non-coding RNA, 1439 nt
Filed under: Musa acuminata (dwarf banana)
Lineage: Eukaryota; Viridiplantae; Streptophyta; Magnoliopsida; Zingiberales; Musaceae
Description: long non-coding RNA (MACU_LNC000370)
Source: RNAcentral
UCUCUCUCUCUCUCUAUUUGCUGAUGAUAUUGGAUGGCUAUUCUACUUAUAUUUAUCCCAAUUUGCAAAAUAUGUUUGCAGCUGUGGCACGGGACAAUGCCGAAUCCAUCCACAAAAUAGAUGAUCAGAUCUAAUAUCUGAUCCUUUUCGGAUCACAGAUAUUUAAUCAAAACGUAAGAACUAUAGAACUAAGAUUCAUCAUCUGUGAUGGCUUUAUAUUGUGGAAACAGACCGACCCAGAAAGCACUUAUAUUACUAACUAGGAAAUGCAAUUUCCGCUGUGUUCGAGAAACCAUGAAACAUAAAGCGAAGAAGAGUCAUAGGCAGUUUCAGUUAAAAUUCUAAUACAUUCCACGUAGGCUGAGAUGGCUUCUGACCAAAAAGACAUGGAAGUAGAGGUGGGCUGAGAUGGCUUCUGACCAAAAAGACAUGGAAGUAGAGGUGGGCACCUUCACGCUGAGAAACCUUUUGACCCAAAGGCAUGUCACCACUUCCCCUGUUUCAGAGAAUAUAUCAGAGAACAAUCACAAAGAAAAUUAAUUGUCUAUACAAGCAGAAGCAGAAAUCUCAACCAUGGACCAUCGAGUUUUAUAUGCCAAGCCCGGGGAUAAGGCAAAAAAAAUACUAUUUAUAUCUUAGUUGUGCCUGAUGAACAAUGCCCGAGCAGCUUUUGUAAGAACAAAGGAUUCAAAAACAUAACCAUCCUUGCAAUUUAUAUUCGCUGUAUGCAAGAUCAGAGGAUAGACAGAAAUAAGUCAAAUCGGCAAAUUAACUGAAAUCUAUGUCAUAUUUAACUAUUCCUUGCAAUUCAGAAGCUCAUUGCUCCAAAGGAGUAAUGUUUCAUAAUUUUCAACAAACACCAACAAAUAAAACUGGAGUGCAAAUAACAACACUAGUAGGAUUCUACUGACUGCAUCAAACCAACUGAUGCAGGAGUGCAGAUUACAACACAUCCACUAGGGUAAGGGUAAGCCUUAAGAAACCUAAUUGUGAGAAAACAUAGACCAAAAUCGACUGUGUGCACUCAAUCAAACUAACAGCACUAUGAAACAACAGUGAUGCCUUAAGCUCUUCAAUCAAACAAAAAUCAGAACCAAGACAACUUUUCCUAAUUUUUCCCUUUUUGUCAUUUGAUAAUCCUUCAACAUAUAACUAAACUAAAUCUUAUCAUACAAAGAAGUAUGCACUCCACCUACAUGCCAAACAAACAAAAUGGUAUUUCCAGAACCCAUGACUUAGGUUAUUCGAGGUAAAAAAACUAAUUAUACUGAACAAUAUCAGGAGAAUAUGGUCUUUCAGCACAAUCAACAACAAGAAAGGAUAGCACUCCACUUUUUGCAAGUAUUAUGAAAAUUAUACAGCUAUAACCUUUCAAGGUAAUAUAUGAAUCAUGCUAGCCAAUCAAACAAAUCAUCAAGAAAAGAAUUGAAAAAUCUGAA